AGAAGAAGAAGAAGAAGAAAAAAAAAAAUCGAGACCUAACAACAAAACAGAAGAGUCAUUCACAACCCUAUUGAGAGGAAAAACGUCUUCACAAAUACAAAAGUGUUUCAAGGAAAAAUUGAAGUCACUCCUGCCCACAUCCACUGCCCAGUGUAACCGCCCUUAAAGAUUGCUGUGUAUUUGUGUACUAAUUUUUCUGUGUUUAUAAAAUCAUUCAUAUAUUUAUUAAUAACAUGUUUAGAAGAAAUCUCUGCAUUAACCUCAGGGCACACAGCUGUCUUUGAUCGCCCCCAACUCCUCAGAAUGUCCUGCCUCCAUUUCACUCUCCCACAGCUGACUUUCUCCCAUGCUUAGGCCCCCCAAGAGCACCUGCUGAAAAACUACUUCCAACCUUAAGCUCAGGCCCUGACUCACAGCCCUUUAUUCUAACAGAGCCCCUAGGUGUUUGGGCAGAGGUAGGUGGGUAUUACGAGGGAAGCGGGAGGAGGACAGUGAGGCCCCUUAAGUUCUUUGUCCUGGCCAGGCGGCUGCCCUCCUGCAUUACAGGUCUCCACAGGAUAGGUCCCAAUUCCCAACUACUUUCAAUUGGUGGGGUGUGGAUUGGCAGGAUGGGUUAAUGCUCUGCCACAACUUUCUCACUUUAUAAUGGGAGCUGUAUGGUAAAUUCACCUGAUAGUAAUAACUUAAGCAUAUCCUGAGAAUGAUCCUGUAUGGCAGACGCACCUGAAUCCUGAAUGUGUGUUUGAAGUUCUGAGCUAAGAAAUCUGGGGGUGGCCAACACAGAGAUUCAUUUCUUAUUUAUGAAGAAGCUGUGAACCCCCAGCCGUCCCGUCCCAUGGAAUGUGGGCUAUACAGGGGUUCAAGGCCCUGUAUUUUGGGUUAAAUGAAGACUGCCAGGUGGAGGUUGUUAGGGGGAGGCUGUGAAGUGAAAAUACUAUAUAAGGCCGGGCGCGGUGGCUCACACCUGUAAUCCCAGCACUUUGGGAGGCCGAGGUGGGCGGAUCAUGGGGUCAAGAGAUCGAGACCAUCCUGGCCAACAUGGUGAAACCCCGUCUCUACUAAAAAUACAAAAAAGUUAGCUGGGCAUGUUAGCACGUGCGUGUAGUCCCAGCUACUCGGGAGGCUGAGGCAGGAGAAUCGCUUGAACCCAGGAGGUGGAGGUUGCAGUGAGCCGAGACCGCGCCACUGCACUCCAGCCUGGCGACUGAUCGAGACUCCAUCUCAAAAUAAAACCCUCUAUAAAUUGUGUGACUUUAUUUUGCAAGUGGUUGUGGUUCUGUUGUCCAGCCCACUGUCGUUGGGUCUUGUUCCCCAAUUGUAAGC
RNAcentral lists this long non-coding RNA (1323 nucleotides) under Homo sapiens (human). RNAcentral describes it as "non-protein coding lnc-LRCH2-1:2". Lineage: Eukaryota; Metazoa; Chordata; Mammalia; Primates; Hominidae. The record is from RNAcentral.